GACGAACGCUGGCGGCGUGCUUAACACAUGCAAGUCGAGCGGUAAGGCCCUUUCGGGGGUACACGAGCGGCGAACGGGUGAGUAACACGUGGGUGACCUGCCCUUAGCUCUGGGAUAAGCCUGGGAAACUGGGUCUAAUACCGGAUAUGACUCCAUAACGCAUGUUGUGGGGUGGAAAGCCUUGUGCGGCUAGGGAUGGGCCCGCGGCCUAUCAGCUUGUUGGUGGGGUGAUGGCCACCAAGGCGACGACGGUAGCCGGCCUGAGAGGGCGACCGGCCACACUGGGACUGAGACACGGCCCAGACUCCUACGGGAGGCAGCAGUGGGGAAUCUUGCGCAAUGGGCGAAAGCCUGACGCAGCGACGCCGCGUGGGGA
RNAcentral lists this ribosomal RNA (376 nucleotides) under uncultured bacterium. RNAcentral's name for it is "bacterial SSU rRNA". It matches the Rfam family "Bacterial small subunit ribosomal RNA", at positions 28 to 407 of the family's 1533-position model. The record is from RNAcentral.